This 357-nucleotide ribosomal RNA is filed under the name uncultured bacterium. Its description in RNAcentral is "partial 16S ribosomal RNA". It matches the Rfam family "Bacterial small subunit ribosomal RNA", at positions 338 to 693 of the family's 1533-position model. The record is from RNAcentral.
CCUACGGGAGGCAGCAGUGAGGAAUAUUGGUCAAUGGCCGAGAGGCUGAACCAGCCAAGUCGCGUGAGGGAUGACUGCCCUACGGGUUGUAAACCUCUUUUGUCGGGGAGCAAAGAGAGUCACGUGUGGCUCAUUGAGAGUACCCGAAGAGCAAACAUCGGCUAACUCCGGGCCAGCAGCCGCGGUAAUACGGAGGAUGCGAGCGUUAUCCGGAUUGAUUGGGUUUAAAGGGUGCGCAGGCGGAGUUGCAAGUCAGUGGUCAAAUUGCGGCGCUCAAGCCCGUACUGCCGUUGAAACUGCAUCCAUUGAAUGCGCGAGAAGUAUGCGGAAUGCGUGGUGUAGCGGUGAAAUGCAUAG